UACAGAGGUCCCGAGCGUUGUUCGGAUUCACUGGGCGUAAAGGGUGCGCAGGUGGGCUGGUAAGUUCGAUGUGAAAGCCCCGGGCUUAGCCCGGGAAAGGCAUUGGAUACUACUGGUCUGGAGGAUUGGAGGGAGGACUGGAAUUCUUGGUGUAGCAGUGAAAUGCGUAGAUAUCAAGAGGAACACCAGUGGCGAAGGCGAGUCCCUGGACAAUACCCGACACUGAGGCACGAAAGCCAAGGGAGCAAACAG
RNAcentral lists this ribosomal RNA (252 nucleotides) under uncultured prokaryote. RNAcentral's name for it is "partial 16S ribosomal RNA". It matches the Rfam family "Bacterial small subunit ribosomal RNA", at positions 524 to 775 of the family's 1533-position model. The record is from RNAcentral.